This is a long non-coding RNA of Pleuronectes platessa (European plaice), 2188 nucleotides long. RefSeq lists it as uncharacterized. Lineage: Eukaryota; Metazoa; Chordata; Actinopteri; Pleuronectiformes; Pleuronectidae. The record is from RefSeq and is a predicted model, not a curated record. The transcript has 3 exons.
UCUGCUGCCAAUCAGGACAUCACAGAGAGACACAGAGCUCCCUCCUGGCGGAACAAAAAGGGGCGGGGUUUCUCAUAAACUCAGUGGUUGACCGAAAGUGACUGUCGGAGUGCACCAUUCACAUUCCACAGAAACCGGCGGAUGUUUCAGCAGCGCGGCUUCUCGUCCUCGGUCUUGCUGACAAAGAGUCUUUUGAGGAAGAGGAGCUGCAGAUACCCGGAGGUGACGAUGAGGAGGCUGAGGGCUGUCGACCACCAGGUGAUGUACUGUGAGUUGGACAGCAGCAGGAAGUAGUCGGCGCUCUUCCCCAUGCGACCAAAGCUGUAGUAGCGGAAGACGUGGAAGAUGUGGUUCUCCACUUUAUGAGUCGCAUCCUGCAACAGCAGCAACACACAGGGUCCUGGUGGCCGUCGUAGUAAACACCAAAGCUGAGGAAGACCUGCAUGCUGCCAAAGCGGUUGUGGAAGUUGCUGAAACACAUUUGAUAGAAACCUGGAGGGAAGGAGAAGUGACAAUAUACUUUAAGUGCACACAGUAUAAAGUAUUUCUGUGUGUGUGUGACUUACGAAUGGGGCAAAAUGCAGUUCAACCUAAAGAAAUAGUUCCCCCAGAAAUUAAAAUUCACUAUCACUAUCUACUCACCAUUAUGCCUAUGGAGGGGUGGGUAAAAUUUAAAAAAUGUUAUCUGAUGCCAGGAAGUUUUUGUGUGUGGAGGUUUUUUACGCCAUUCAUCAGUUAGGUCUUCUUUUUCUUUUAUUUACCUUAUGGAGCUCCUUUGUUUUAAAGUCAACCAUUUCUAUUUUUAUGUAGUCUUGUGGUGAGAUUUUAGCAAUAUUUUGUUGUUGUGAGAUGUAUGAACGGAAGGACAGAGGGACAUACUGGUUCACCUAUGGACAGACAGACAGACCUGUUUCCUCAGCCUUGAAGUUAAUCUGACCCUUCGCAUCAUCAAUAUUUGCCACUAACAGACCACCAGGGGCAUUGACUGUGACGGACAGGUGUCUGUCAUGGCCGACUCCCGUCACCCACUGGACCUACACACAAAACAGAAAGAAGACAUGUAGAAAAUUAAACUGUUAACCAGACAAGGUUUGAUGACGAUAUAGUGCAGUCGUGUCUCUCAAAGAAAGGGGCACCAGUUUGAUGUUCCAGACCAAGACACAGUAUCUGAUAUACAAGCUCCGUAACUACUGAAAUAUUAAUCUCAUAGCUUGAAUCCUGAGUUUUUACACUUUGCUGAGCUGGAAUGAUGGCAUCACAACAAAAACCUAAUGAAAUGAAUGAAAACAUCAGAUCUGUGAGGAGCAACAAGAGGAGAAGGGAAUAUCUAUCACAUGACUGGAUGAAAGAAACAUUGUUCAGGCUGUUUAUCUCCAUCAACAAUCAACUCAUAUUCACACAACAGGAGGGGUUUGGAAACUUUAAUCUUAUUUAUUUUGCAAGUUUCUGAGGAUAGUGAACUCCUGAUCAUUCAUCUGAUGCUACCAUUAUGCCAAAUGUAAAUGUGGUGAGCAUGUGUGCAUGGUGAGCAUGUGUGCAUGAUGCACGCUCUUCCUUUCCCUGACCCCAUGAGCUCUUCGUAUGUCUGAAAUGCAAGUGUUAAAAUUGUUUGGGUAAUCGUUGUAAUUCAAGAAUACAGAACCCAGACAGUAGUAUUUUACUACAUUACAAUGUGUAGAGACAUAAACAGACCUUCACAGAACUUGCACCAUCUAGUGGUAGAGAAUUAAAUUUUAUCUGCAGAAUUCCUUAUCACAUGAUAAUUAAUUUAAUUUAUAGUGGGUAUAUAUGACAUCAUUUUUUUAAAUGUAGGAUUAGGUAUUAUAAGAGAGCUUAACAUCUAAUUCUACAUAUCAGUUAUAUUACUUAGUCGUAGUAAAAAAUUAUUACUACUACUAACACUACAUAAACAUCACACACUGCUAUUCUUUCGACACAUAUACAUUAUGUACAAAAAAUGACACCUGAAUAUGACAUGAUUAUAUGUAAAAAAUAAACAUUUGAACAUAUUUUGAUCUAUAUAAUAACAAAAUGUACCUGUAUUGUAUGGUAUAUAUAGGUAUAACAGAAGAUUUACUAAAUCACCUUUGAAAUAAAUCUGUUCAUGUUGCCGAGAAAAACACAUGGAGGCCUCUGCCUUUCAUCUCACCAUGUAGCUGAGGUAGAAUCGUUCUCCAGUGUGAGCAAA